GAUCCUGGCUCAGGAUGAACGCUAGCUACAGGCUUAACACAUGCAAGUCGAGGGGCAUCAGUUUGGUUUGCUUGCAAACCAAAAGCUGGCGACCGGCGCACGGGUGAGUAACACGUAUCCAACCUGCCUCAUACUCGGGGAUAGCCUUUCGAAAGAAAGAUUAAUAUCGAUAGCAUAUAUUUCCCGCAUGGGUUUAUAUUAAGAAAUUCGGUAUGAGAUGGGGAUGCGUUCCAUUAGUUUGUUGGGGGGG
RNAcentral lists this ribosomal RNA (250 nucleotides) under uncultured bacterium. RNAcentral describes it as "partial 16S ribosomal RNA". It matches the Rfam family "Bacterial small subunit ribosomal RNA", at positions 15 to 257 of the family's 1533-position model. The record is from RNAcentral.